This 96-nucleotide ribosomal RNA is filed under the name Fukomys damarensis (Damara mole-rat). Lineage: Eukaryota; Metazoa; Chordata; Mammalia; Rodentia; Bathyergidae. The record is from RNAcentral.
AAUACCACGCCAUCCCCCCUCUGCUUGCUAUGAUCUCAUUCGAACUCAGAAGCUAAAAGGGAUUGGGCCUCAUUAGUACUUGGGUUGAGGGUAGUC